RNAcentral lists this ribosomal RNA (253 nucleotides) under uncultured bacterium. RNAcentral describes it as "partial 16S ribosomal RNA". It matches the Rfam family "Bacterial small subunit ribosomal RNA", at positions 524 to 776 of the family's 1533-position model. The record is from RNAcentral.
UACGGGGGGAGCAAGCGUUGUUCGGAUUUACUGGGCGUAAAGGGCGCGUAGGCGGCACUGCAAGUCAGUUGUGAAAUCUCCGGGCUUAACCCGGAAAGGUCAACUGAUACUGCAGGGCUAGAGUGCAGAAGGGGCAACUGGAAUUCUCGGUGUAGCGGUGAAAUGCGUAGAUAUCGAGAGGAACACCUGCGGCGAAGGCGGGUUGCUGGGCUGACACUGACGCUGAGGCGCGAAAGCUAGGGGAGCAAACGGG